UCCUCUAUUAAACUAGUUUCCUAGUUCUCCCAAUUUGGAAGAAUUGGGAGGAAAAGGGACAUGAGACUGAUAAAAGGCAAAAAUGCCCACAAAUCUUCAAAUAAAGCUAGGGUACAAUGAUCUUUUUGAUUUAAAAUAUCUAUCAUCUUCCUCCGUUCCUUCCCCUUAUAAGGACUAUCCAAACAAAGGUGAUGUUCUCUCUCUUUCCCUCCCCCUCC
RNAcentral lists this long non-coding RNA (218 nucleotides) under Elaeis guineensis (African oil palm). Its description in RNAcentral is "long non-coding RNA (EGUI_LNC078392)". The record is from RNAcentral. Lineage: Eukaryota; Viridiplantae; Streptophyta; Magnoliopsida; Arecales; Arecaceae.